AGUUUAAUUGGUAUAAUACGCUUUCAUUAUUUUAGUUUUCUCUCUUUCAGAACUGGAUUGGUAACUACAAAAGGUCCAAAGCUGCUUCUGAGCCCUGGCAGUCAAAGCCCAAAAUACACACAAGAGAACUGUCACCAUACAAUCUUUUAUGUAGGGACAUUCUCAGAAACAAAGAUGCAGCACAAUGCCACCCCACUGACUCAGCAGAGGGAAGUUUAGAACACAUCAACGCAGAAUACACAGCAGAUGACCUCCAGACGAAGUCGGUGGAAGAGAUAUUAGAGGCCAUGUGUGAAAAUGGUGCACAGCAGAUGGAAGAGGAAUCCUCAGAAACAACCAGUAAUGUAGCCAUCCUGAUGACUGCAGAUGAAGAUCGAGGCAGUUUGCGCUGUGUCUGCCACAUCCAUUUUGUUGACAAGAAGAAGAAUGCUACAAAGAAGUGGCGUUCAUGGUCGCAGUGCACAGUGUGCCAACUGUGGUCACACACUGCAUGUGGAUUUAAAAGCAACAUGUGCCUUCACUGCCAGUGUCAAACCACCACGCACACACGCUGACCUUUUGCAUCAGUGUUAGGAAACAUGUAAUGUUUACUGCUUUCCAAGGUUGAGUUGAGUUUAAGUUGUUUGAGUUUUCUUACUGUGUUGACAGUAAGCAGCAGUUUUUUCUAUUAAAAAUGAAAUUUAUAUAAAUCUCGGCGCUACAUAUAUUUUGCCCUGUAAGAAGAAAACAGUGAAAUUUUCAUUCAGCCUAAUUAAGAUUCCUUUUAUUUAUUGUUGAUGUUUGUUGGCCCCAUCGAUGUGGUCCCUUUUUAAACUGUGCCAUGUGGGGAACUAAAUAAAGUUCUACUGAAUUGAGUAC
This is a long non-coding RNA of Micropterus salmoides (largemouth bass), 858 nucleotides long. RefSeq lists it as uncharacterized. The record is from RefSeq and is a predicted model, not a curated record. The transcript is spliced from 5 exons. Lineage: Eukaryota; Metazoa; Chordata; Actinopteri; Centrarchiformes; Centrarchidae.